Molecule: long non-coding RNA, 1156 nt
Organism: Chroicocephalus ridibundus (black-headed gull)
Lineage: Eukaryota; Metazoa; Chordata; Aves; Charadriiformes; Laridae
Exons: 3
Source: RefSeq, a predicted model, not a curated record
AGAUGCUGGAGUUUGGGGUAACUUUACAUCCGCAACGUGUAGGUCCGCACUGACUACAUUUUAGGAGUCUUAAUAGGUUACCGCAUUGUUCGAGUACCAUAAAACGGUUCGCUAUUUACCAGUAUACUUACAGAAGCUGUAUGAAUCCUAAAUCUGAUUGAAAUUGCAACUCAAGACAAAGAAUGAGGGAAGGGUGGUUAAAAAAAAAAAAAAAAAAAAAAAGGAUUUCACAGCCUGGCAUGGUUUCAAUGGAGAGUUACAGGUGCACAACCACCUGCAAGACAAGGCGACUGCUGGAUUCUGCACGCACCGGACGGAGCACACUUUCGGAGCCUUAACGCGCCAAUGAAUUACUGACAUGACAACGGACCAACAGAUCCCAGCUAAGAUCCAGCCAGACAUGGGUCACUGGACGGACUGGGGGCUCCCUCUUCCAAUUUCAAGCAAGACGACGACACAAGAUAAAGUGAAUUAAAUGAAAUGCAGACAACUUUUCUGCAGUCUUUAAAAUGAAGAAUUCAAAUCAACUCUGAUAGGUAAGGAUUUCUGUACAGAAAAACAAGAUGAGCGGCCUGAAAUUUCAGUUGGGCCCAUUUCACACCUGGUCAAGAAUAACUGGAAGACACCAGCUGGAUCUCACCGCCCCCCUCAGACCUGUCUGCACUCGGAUGCCGUGCGCAGGAAACCACUGAAGGCAGCCAAGGCCGCAGGCUCCCACAGCCAAAAAAAAAAAAAAAGAAAGAAAAAAAAAAUAUCACUUCUUCCAAGGUCUGAGUUUUGAAGAUUGAGAUGUGAUUUGGACCAAAUUCAAUUCCUCAGACUUCACUGGAGAUGUGCUGCGAACUGAAGUUACUGCGUCUUUUAAGCCCUGACAAAUAUCUAUACACAGGAGCCUGCUUCAUCAGCAAUUUUGUUUCCUUUCCCGGGAUGUUUAACUCCGCUAAAGAAACUCCAUUCCAAGUCUUCAGUAUAUAGAAAACUCCUAUUCAUUUGCUCCUGAGGCAGUUCAUUUACAAAAGACUUGUGCAAAAUUGAACAAUAAAUUAAAUCUGAGUACGAGUUCAUGAUUGGGUUUAAACAAACAUCUGCUUCUGAGACAACAGAAAACCCAUUUUAUUUUUUAAAAAAUCACUUCAGAAAUAUGAAGGUGAUUUCU